RNAcentral lists this ribosomal RNA (465 nucleotides) under uncultured bacterium. RNAcentral describes it as "partial 16S ribosomal RNA". It matches the Rfam family "Bacterial small subunit ribosomal RNA", at positions 28 to 507 of the family's 1533-position model. The record is from RNAcentral.
GACGAACGCUGGCGGCGUGCUUAACACAUGCAAGUCGAACGGAAAGGCCCCUUUGGGGGUCCUCGAGUGGCGAACGGGUGAGUAACACGUGAGUAACCUUCCCUUUACUUCGGGAUAACUUCAGGAAACUGGGGCUAAUACCGGAUAGGAAUCCUUGCUGCAUGGUGGGGGUUGGAAAGCUUCGGCGGUUUUGGAUGGACUCGCGGCUUAUCAGCUUGUUGGUGGGGUAGUGGCUUACCAAGGCUUUGACGGGUAGCCGGCCUGAGAGGGCGACCGGCCACAUAGGGACUGAGAUACGGCCCAGACUCCUACGGGAGGCAGCAGUGGGGAAGAUUGCACAAUGGGCGGAAGCCUGAUGCAGCAACGCCGCGUGCGGGAUGACGGCCUUCGGGUUGUAAACCGCUUUCAGCAGGGGCGAAGCUUGUGGUGACGGUACCUGCAGAAGAAGCACCGGCUAACUACGUG